CUAAUAUAUUGUGAACACAAUAGACAGUGUGGGCUCUGUAAGAUGAAUGUUUUUCUGCAUGCAAGCUGCAACUAAAAGGGCUAUUUUUCCCUUUCAUUAAUCUAGAAUAAAUAAUGGUUAUAAUAUUACAUAACUCUUGCCUUAUCUCUGGCAGUUUCUUCGUGCUGAAAUAGGAGAUUGCUGCAGUAUGCAGCACAGCUUCUCAGUGUGCUCUGUAUGAGAGACAGAAAGGGAGUCAUUCAUGCUGGAAAAUAUCUGGCAAAAUUUCAAAGUUGCUUCCCCUUUAAUAAUUCUUAAACAUGGCUAUGAUGUGUUCCUGAAAUUUUAAAUACAGUUAGAUGUACAUUUCUGUUCACUGUUAGUGAAUUAUCCUCCCACCCCACCCCCCUCCCCCCCCCCCCCCCCCCCCCCCCCCCCCCCCCCCGUAUAGCUUCCGGUGGUUCAAGACUAGUGUGAUUCUAAACGGAAGUACAGCAAAAUCUAGUUAUCAUUUCUGGAAUCUACAAAAUCCUUAGGCUGAGCAGACUUUUGUGACACAUGACUUAUGAAGCGCAAUGCAAUACACAGAACAGGAGCAACUUACCUCUGAUAGACCUGACAUGACAGGCAAGCUCUGAAGCUUUACAGAUAUUGGGAUUCAUCACAGCUGAAAAAGGACAUGCAAAUCUGAAGAUGUAAUGCAUCUAGAAAGGAAGAACACUCCUCUACAAAGAGAGAAGUUUGAGCAGAAGUUUGAGCAGCCAACAGCCACUUCCAUUUUUCUAGGACCCUCCCUAGCAAAGCAAUGUGGAGAUAAGAGCUGAAAAUAGGAAAAUUCAAUGGAUAGGAUGCAUCCAUUGCUGGAAGGUACAGUGUCUAGUCUCUGUGGACUUUGCCUCUCUCUCAAGUAAAUGGAUUCACCAUCCAAUUUCCAAGUGUG
Molecule: long non-coding RNA, 919 nt
Filed under: Cairina moschata (Muscovy duck)
Lineage: Eukaryota; Metazoa; Chordata; Aves; Anseriformes; Anatidae
Description: domestica (muscovy Duck (domestic type)) lncRNA (ENSCMMG00000001507.1)
Source: RNAcentral